AGGCGUGGAGAAGUAAGUCUAAUGUAAUAAGGAGCCCUAUGCACAAAAUGAGAAAAAGGUCUUUCUGAGACGUAUGCUCUGUACUGGAAUCCGCACAUUAACAUUUCCAUCCGUCCAUAAACUCAGAAAUUGCUUUUGGGGGUGGGGGAGAAAUUUGUCAACAACAAAAGCAAGACGUGUGUGCUUUAACAGUGAUCUCAGCUAGAAGUGACCCCGUGACUCCUGGGCCAGCCGUCGUUUAAGUUUCAGUGAUGCGGCACUGUCUCCGCUGUGGUUGCCGGCACAGAGAGAACACUGAGCAGAGGAGUCUGGCAAAGCCUCUGAAGGUACAUACGGGGUCAUGCGAGGGUUCCGCAGGAGUUAGUUUCUGAUUCAUCCAGGAAGGAAAGGGUACGCACAGGGCUCUGUGGCGUCUCCUGGACCCGCCAGUGGGGAGACGGCCACCGUGUGAGUCCCGUGGGCCUGUGCUGAGCGUUGAAGAAAGGACCUCGCAUUGGAGCUUCCCACCUUAGCAUCCUUCGAGUUUGUCAUUGGAUACUGACCCCUGAGUUCAGAUGUGCAUCAAAUCUCUGUAAGAUAAAUACGGCUUUCUGUGAAUAAGACUUAAAGAAAAGUGCAUAUGGAUUCAUGCAAAGGAGAGGAGUAAAUUAUAAGACAAACACACCCAGAGCCAUCACCAAGGAGCCAGCCGGAUACACCGGCUUCUCAGCAACUACUCCUGCUUCGAAGAAAAUAAUCCCUUCUGUAACUGACAAAGAAGACCUCAACCAGAGUGUGUGCCUGUGAAACUGCAUGAGUUCUAAGUUUAGCAAAGUGGAAUCACGCCUUUGCUGGAGGCCGGCCUCUGGCGAGAACCCCAGCGGGCCGUCUCAGGGGCCAGGCGGCAGCACCCUGCCAGGGCUGCGGGGCCCCCUGCGGCAGCUCCAACCCCAGCUGCGCCGGGCCCCCCGUCACGAUCCAGAGUCCUCAGGCAGCUCUUGCUCAGGCUCCGUCAGGGCAGGAGGCACACGUGGUGGAAGCAAGCCAACCUGAAAAGGAAAACUGCACCAACCUCGACGCCUGUUUGCAGUCAACCUAAGAAGGGAUUCUGUGAAUUCUGACACCAGUACAUUCACUGGGGGGCCAGGGCCAGGGCCACCCUCCCCUGAUCAGCACACCCGGGAUUUUCAUCCCUUUGGCUUCCGCUCCAGGGCCAGGGCCAUCUUCUCAAACUGUUUAAAAGUGAAGCGAGCUGGUUCCAAACAGAGUUACGCAGUGUUCUCGUCGCACACCCGUGUGUGCCUCGUCGGGAACCUCACCCGGCCUCGGGAGCUCUUGCCCGUGAGCAGCCAUGGGAUCCUGCGUCACUCCAAACCGCGCCUGUUCUGACGGAGGAAUCCAUUUAACCUCAGGAGCUUCUAUCGCUCGCUGUGUUGAGAAAUGUUUGUGAUAAAGACGUGGGAAGAUCGCAUGGAUUACUACAAACAAAUGCAGCAAAGUGGGUUUAAAAACUUGCAUUUCAGCAGGCGCUGUGCGAUGCCAGGAAAGACCCUGAGGUUGGGUCAGUCACAGCUGGUGUUCCACCGGCUCCAAGGCUCCUGAGCUUAACUAUUACCAAAACAAUGAAUGACUCUGAGACUGCUGUGCUGUGCUUAGUGUCUGAGUCUGGGACGCUGUGGGCCGCAGCCCACCAGGCUCCUCUGUCCAUGGGAUUCUCCAGGCGAGAACACUGGGGUGGGUUGCCAUUUCCUCCUCCAGGGAAUCUUCUUGACCCAGGGAUCGAACCCAAGUCUCUUACGUUUCCUGCAUCGGUAGGAAAGUUCUUUACCACUGGGGCCACCUGGGAAGCCCAAUGUUGAGACAGGCUUAUACAUAAUGAUAAAUUCACUGCUGACCUUCACCCAAGUUGAACUGGGUGUCCUGCCCUUUAUCUGUCAAACCUCUGUGCAUCCCCCCUGGCCCUGGGAGGUCUGCUGGCUUAUGGAUCAGAGCUCAGCACAUUCUCAAGGCUGAAGGUGGAACCAUAGCAUCUAUCAUCUGAUUCCUAGAUAAAGUUGAAGUUUCUCAAGCACAUCCACAAAUGUAGCGGAGGGCUGGCCAGCAGUCUAAGCCGGGAGGCAUGGCUGCGCUGCUCGGGGCGGGUGGGCUGAGUCCAGCCUGCCCUGCAGUUGCCCAGGACCACAUCAAGGCUCAGUCUCGUCCCUCAUCACAUCGCCAGUUUGACUUGUACUGGGGUUGCAAUUUGUAUUCAUUUUUCCAUUUGUAUAAGAAUGCAAGGCUAAGGAUUUUACAUCUAUCUACUAGAAUAUCUUACGUGACAUUAUGUGAAAAAAAAUCAUAGACCACAGUGCUGUGGGUCUGUGAGAUUGGUUUUCUCCUCUCAGGGACUACGGCACUUUAAUCAUCAGACUUACGGUUGAGGGACAGGCCUGGCCGGCUUUGUUUGCUGGUCUGUUCGUCUAGUUGCUACACACUUUCUCUUGGGAACCACUAAGCUCGGGAGGCUCCUUCAGGCAGCGGAGGCGGGUGCUUGGCAAGCCCGCUGUUCCUUGUGACUCUGAUGAUGCUGAGGGUCCCGUGGAGACGGGGAAGGAAGGACAAUUCGCCUCUCUGCCCUGAGCUGCUGCAGCAGAAGCAGAGCUCACUGAGAGACCUGCUUAGGUGGAUGAAUCCAAGCCCACAGAUGGGCCCCACGUGGAUGCUGCAAAGGCCAGGUCGCCUGUGACAGUCUCUGUACCCGCACCCGGAGGGCAGCCUGGGCCAAACUACCACCUGCAUUCCUACAACCCCAAAGUGCGGGGCCACGUGCAACGUCAACACCUAUUUUCUGUGGCCCAAGUUUAAACCAAGACAAGUGGAACUCCAAAAUAUUGACGUUUAAAAAAAGGAAUUAUAUAACUUUUUUCCCCCCCGUUUACAAAUCUAGCUGGGAGAUUUUAGUUCUCCUCUUGAAAUCUUUUUUAAAAAAAGCAAGUUCAGAUCAGUUCAUCCAUUUCGUCCAGAGAGGAUUGUAGAAAAAAACCAGAGGGCAAGGAACCACAGGAACAGGUUAACGUACGUCACAGAUGUUAGCGACCCCACAAGGCAGGGCCCUGGCCUUGGGGCUGAAACCUCACCCUCGUCACGCAUCUCGAGCUUGACUCUCACUGUAUCUCUUUCCACUUGAGUUUGAAUUACGUCAAUUCCAGUUCUUUUUUAAGCUUUAAUUUGAGUGCUGUUGUGGCUGUUUUUUCACCAGAGCCAUUGAGGUUCUGGGCUGAAUACACUUAACAUGGCUGUAAAAAAGUUUUAACCCUCUGGAUCACUGACUUUUUUAAAACAAAAGGUACACAAAUACAGUCUGUGUUCAGCUUUCACAGGUGAGAAAAGGUUCUCAAAAUAAUUUUUAAAGAUUAAAAAAAUUAGUAAAAUUUUAGAGACUUUUUUUAGAACCAAAGCCACUUUUUAUUUACUCAAGAAGAGCAAAGGUUGAUGAUGCAGGUCCUUCGGUGGCCCACGCCCCCACGGUUCCCACGCCCCGCCAGCAGCCCCAGACACAGCAGACCCCAGGAGCCGGUCCUCGGCCUGAUCUCUGGCAGCAGAGAAGAGCUGCAGAGGAAGCGACCUCCAGGAACAGAAGGCAGACGGGCUUGCAGAGCCAUGACCAUGACGCCUCAGUCUCCUACCUGGGCUUCUGUGCUGCCCAUCUCCUCACCAGCACAGGUUGAGCACUCAGGAGGGCAGCAAAUUCAGCUUCAACUCCCAGCCUUGGUUCCUCUCCAUCUCAAGUUCAUGGGAAUGCCAAUCUUAGUUUUGAAUUAGUUAUCAUUCCAAUAACAGCUCAUUUUCUUUCUAAAAACAUUGUUAAUGUUGUGGAAAUGCACAUAAAAGGCACAAAUCAGAAACAUAGUCUUUACUUGUUUUCUUCAUUCACCCAGGUCAUUUCCCAGGUCCUCUCUUCAUCUUGAUCACCAUCUUUCUUCCUAUGAUACUAAUCAGUUCUUUGCCUUCCUGCAAAGAUUCAAAACAACAUACUCUUGAUAAAAAUUCCUCCAGUAUUCCACAUGUUACCUUUGAUUAUACCCCGUUUGGUUAAUUUAAAAUGGAUUAUGAAAGUGGCUCAGGAUCAAUCUGGACAAAACUGUAAGAUGGAAAAAGAUGGUUAGCAAGGCAAGUUAAAAUGUUCACGAGAACUGAUAAGGUUGAAUUGAUUCAGUAACUGAAAUGGGAGGAUCACUGUUAAUGUUAUUGAUCAAAUCCAUCAAACUUCACACCCUUUUUGCAAAGACUCAGGAUAUUUUAAAUGCAGUAAGCAGACACAUGCACAUCCACACGAGGGUGGGGGGAGGGGAGAGGAUAACACAACUACUCUUGCUGAGAACCAAACGACUGCCUCCUGGACUCCUGGAAGCACGCUCUGAAGCUGCUCUGAAGACACGGGAGCUGGUAUUUUUUUAGCUUCUGGUUCUCUGAUCACCACCCUAACCACCUGCCCGGGCCCCAGG
Long non-coding RNA from Bubalus bubalis (water buffalo), 4463 nucleotides. RefSeq lists it as uncharacterized. The transcript has 3 exons. NCBI's taxonomy places the organism in Eukaryota, Metazoa, Chordata, Mammalia, Artiodactyla, Bovidae. The record is from RefSeq and is a predicted model, not a curated record.